This is a long non-coding RNA of Myotis daubentonii (Daubenton's bat), 1646 nucleotides long. RefSeq lists it as uncharacterized. Lineage: Eukaryota; Metazoa; Chordata; Mammalia; Chiroptera; Vespertilionidae. The record is from RefSeq and is a predicted model, not a curated record.
UACCACUGCGGACUAUGAGGCUAAAAUCAAAAGGCCAGCAGUACCAAGUGUUGGUGACGCUGAAGGGAAACUGGAAGUCUCCACAUUGCUAGUGGGAAAGGAAAGCUUCACCACUUUGGAAAGCCGUUUGCCAUUCUCUUAGAAACUGAAAUAAGUAUUUAUCACAUGAAGCAGCAAUCCCAUUCCCGGUUAUUUACAAAAGGAAAGUGAAAAACACAGGUACUCAGGUCACCAGAGUUGGGAGGAUGCGCACGUGCUGUCCCCUUUCCUUGGACCAGGAGCCUCUGAGGUGCCAGUACUCAAGAUUGACUAAAAAUUGACUGAAUUUAGUGUAAGAUAAGCUCAGUGUCAGCAACACUUUUUUAGUUUAUGUAUUUUCAUUUAUCUCCACAGUAACCAGAUCACAACCCGGGUUCAUCUGCACGGAGUUCCCAGGGACACCAGGCUCAGAUCUUCCUCCAGAAGCUGAAGGACUCCAUGUCCCACAGCAGCACAUGCUGUUUCCAUGGCAGCGCUUUCUUCAGCUACCUUGUAACAUCUGUUGCCUGGAUGGGUCCUUAAUCCGAGCCCUGCAGGGAAACGGGAGACGCCAUUCGCCCCACCAGUCCCAUCGCCAUCCCACCCCCGGAGCUCCUAGACCCGGUCCCGGUCCUGGCGCCCCUCUCAGCACUGCUCUCGGGUGUAGCUGUCAAGGGCCAGUUUCUGGACUUCUCAGCACUGCAAGCAGCGGAGCUGGAGAUGUUGCCGGCUGGAGUUCUCUCCCCUCCACCUUCCUUCUUCUAUUCUCCAGCCUCCUGCCGCAGCCCCCUGCCUGCCCCUCGCUUCAGGCGCGCCAGGAUCUGCCAGCCCACGCAGAUUUUUAUGCUGCUGCUCUGCAGCCUGGUGGCCAGAGUGGCCUCCUCCCCUCAGGGGCUGCCAGCAGAUGCUUCCACCCAUGGUGGACUCCCAGCUGCCUGUGGUGAACUUUGGCUCCCUGCCACCACCUCCCCUUUCUCUGUUACCUGUGGGUCCUGCUCUGCAGCCCCCCGGUUUGGCUGUGCAGCCUCCACCGACUUCUGGGGUGCUGCCUUUACCUGCCAGGCCCUUCUCCGCUAGCUUGGGGCAAGCCGAGCUUCACCCAGUAGAACUAAAGUCGUUCCAGGAUGAUCGAAAACUGAGCAGCAACCUCAGGGGAGCCGGGGCAUCAUGUACUCCCCCAGCUGGAAGGUCUUCCUCUGGCCUCAGUUCCCAUCCCAAAGCCCCACCCUCCACUCUAGCGAUGCCUUCUGUGCCCAGCACAUCGACCUUCACCAGCAGGCCUCCCCACCUGACUCCCUACACUGGAUGCCGAAACCUUGGGAGCAGACAGGGCCACCUUCCUGAGAAGGGUCUUCCGACCGACCGGCAGAAGAGCCUGGGUCCCCAGGGGACAAGGAGCCUAGGUUGCCUCCACCCUGCUGAAGGAGUUCCCCUUGCCUGUACCCCCGCACCCCCGGCCUUUUAUGUAAAUUAUCAAUACAUAAGGGGAAAAGGGAUGGGUGGAAGGGGUUGUGGGGCUGGGGCCUCGCUUCCCCUCCUCCCUGCUCCCCUGGUCCCCAUCCCUGGGGCCAUUUGUUUAAAAAAUAUUAAUAAUAAAAUAAUUUUUAAAAUUAAAAAAAUAAAAUCAU